CUACCAAGACAGUGACGGUUGACGGGGAAUCAGGGUUUGAUACCGGAGAGGGAGCCUGAGAGACAGCUCCCACGUCCAUGGACGGCAGCAGGCGCGAAAAUUGCCCACUCUUUGCAGGAGGCAGUUAUGAGACGUAGUUGUGAUUAUUCAGUAAAGAGGAAUAGGAGAAUUGGAGGGCAAGUUUGGUGCCAGCCGCCGCGGUAAUACCGACUCCAAGAGUGUGUAUGAGAGAUGCUGCAGUUAAAAAGUCCGUAGUCAUGGAGGCACAAACAGGGACGGAGUCUCGGUAGUGAGUGGUGGAGGAACCGAUGGGGAACAUAGUAUACCAGGGCGAGAGAUGAAAUGCCAAGACCCCUGGUGGACUCGGCGAGGCGAAAGCGAUGUUCUAGUAGGUGUUCGGUGAUCAAGGACGAAGGCUGGAGUAUCGAAAGUGAUUAGAUACCGCAGUAGUUCCAGCAGUAAAAGAUGCC
This 470-nucleotide ribosomal RNA is filed under the name Vittaforma corneae. Its description in RNAcentral is "bacterial SSU rRNA". It matches the Rfam family "Microsporidia small subunit ribosomal RNA", at positions 200 to 696 of the family's 1311-position model. Lineage: Eukaryota; Fungi; Microsporidia; Nosematidae. The record is from RNAcentral.